Molecule: long non-coding RNA, 1032 nt
Filed under: Anas platyrhynchos platyrhynchos (common mallard)
Lineage: Eukaryota; Metazoa; Chordata; Aves; Anseriformes; Anatidae
Description: lncRNA (ENSAPLG00000018306.1)
Source: RNAcentral
AUGGGGGCUUGUGCGGCUCCGGUGGGGCGCUCACGGGGGGACCCCCGGCGGGUGCGGGCGCCGCUUCCGUGCGGCCCCGGGAGCAGGCACAUUCCUCCGGCGUGGGGCAGCCGGGAGGAACAGGCCCUGGGUUUGUUCUGGCUUUUGGCUGCGCUCAGUAGCAUCUCCUGUGUCGGGCUCUUAACGCGGUCUGUGGGAGCGGCUGCCCCUGGAGGCGCGCAGAAUAACACCUUUGUGCGGGCAGCCUUGGGCAGGAAGCCCCUGCUGGGGAGCGUGGGGCAGCGAGGGGCAGCGUGGGGCAGCGUGGGGCUCCGGCCCCCCGUGCUGUGCCCCCGACAGCCCGUCCUGCUCUGGGCACCAGGGACAGGACCCCCAGGUGCUGGCACAAAUCGUCCUUCGUCCCUGUCUCCACCACAGCCCCCAGGUGCUGGUUUUGGGGGGGCUGUUGGACGCCCAGCGUGGCUGAGACCUCUUGGAGGAGGGAGGCUGGAGGUUUGUGGUGCCCCCGGGGUGCUGGUGAGCUGGGAGAGGUGGCAGAGGGCGGGUGGCAGUGGCCGGCUGGGCCAAGCGGUGACUUCUAGGUGGCCGCAGCUGGCCACAGCCCGUGUGUGGCUUCGGUGGCUCUGCUGCCUCGGGGCUGGAAGCAGCCUGGAGCUGUCCCUGUGCCUGUGGGCAGCCCUUUGCCACCAGUUUGUGCCAACUUGGCUUCACUGGGGACCUCUGAGUCCCCCAGGUCCCCCCAGGGGGCACGGCAGCUUGGUACCGGGAGGGCUGGGGCUGCACGGCUGGUGGCAGCGUGCCCAACGGGUCCCAGGACCCCUUCCCUGUCCCCUUCAUGUCCCCUCCCAGCUGCGUGUGGCCAGCAGGGGAGGAGCAGCCGCGGGCAGGGAGGGAUGGCAGGAGCUGGGGCCGGGCCGGGGGGUCCGUGGGGAGCCUGCUCCCCCCCUGCCCCCAUGGGCAGGCACCGCACCCCGUCCCCGCGGCGGGCCGGGGCAAAGCAGGUUGCUAAAAAAUGGUGCCGUUGUGUCGUGA